Molecule: ribosomal RNA, 253 nt
Filed under: uncultured bacterium
Lineage: Bacteria
Description: partial 16S ribosomal RNA
Rfam family: Bacterial small subunit ribosomal RNA
Source: RNAcentral
UACGUAGGGUGCGAGCGUUAAUCGGAAUUACUGGGCGUAAAGCGUGCGCAGGCGGUUCGUUGUGUCGGUGGUGAAAGCCCCGGGCUUAACCUGGGAAUGGCCAUGGAAACUGGCGAACUGGAGUGUGGCAGAGGGGGGUGGAAUUCCACGUGUAGCAGUGAAAUGCGUAGAGAUGUGGAGGAAUACCGAUGGCGAAGGCAGCCUCCUGGGCCAACACUGACGCUCAUGCACGAAAGCGUGGGGAGCAAACAGG